Molecule: long non-coding RNA, 412 nt
Filed under: Elaeis guineensis (African oil palm)
Lineage: Eukaryota; Viridiplantae; Streptophyta; Magnoliopsida; Arecales; Arecaceae
Description: long non-coding RNA (EGUI_LNC030516)
Source: RNAcentral
GGGGAAAAGUAUACGGAGGGAGUACCUUUUGGACAAAGGCCUUAUGUUUAGAAGCUAUAUGUCAACCCUCAGAAUUGAGCCAUGGUCCCAUGGAAAACGCUUUUGGAAUGCAGGAUUUCAAGCAGCGUGUGGAAAUGUGAUUCCAUUCGUUGGUCGCAUUUCAACACAUUGUGAAUGAGCAGUCGAACACAUUGAGCUCAUGCAUUGAUCGCUAGACGGGUAAGAGUAGCCUUUAUUGAGCUAGUGGGAAGUCGUCUAGAAAAGUAAAGAGAUGGGAAAAGUCUGAUGUGCCGCGUGUAGCGCUGAGUGUUCCACCGUGUUUAGUUUGGAUAAAAGGAGCUAAGGAUAAGAAAGACUUGUUUUAGCCACUUAUUCUAAUGGUCAUUUCACUAUGAUAUUUAAUGAAGUUAUG